Molecule: Y RNA, 113 nt
Organism: Callithrix jacchus (white-tufted-ear marmoset)
Lineage: Eukaryota; Metazoa; Chordata; Mammalia; Primates; Cebidae
Rfam family: Y RNA
About the family: Y RNAs are components of the Ro ribonucleoprotein particle (Ro RNP), in association with Ro60 and La proteins. The Y RNAs and Ro60 and La proteins are well conserved, but the function of the Ro RNP is not known.
Source: Ensembl
GGCUGGUCCAAAAGUAGUGAAUUAUUUCAAUCAAUUGUUCACAGCCAGUUACAGAUGAAACCCUUUGUUCUUCUCUUUCCCUCCUUCUUAAUACUGCACUUGACUAGCCAAAA